UGAGCAACCUGCCCCUGACUCUGGGAUAACCCCGGGAAACCGGAGCUAAUACCGGAUACGACACGCGAAGGCAUCUUCUGCGUGUAGAAAGAUUUAUCGGUCAGGGAUGGGCUCGCGGCCUAUCAGCUUGUUGGUGGGGUAACGGCCUACCAAGGCGACGACGGGUAGCCGGCCUGAGAGGGCGACCGGCCACACUGGGACUGAGACACGGCCCAGACUCCUACGGGAGGCA
RNAcentral lists this ribosomal RNA (232 nucleotides) under uncultured bacterium. RNAcentral's name for it is "partial 16S ribosomal RNA". It matches the Rfam family "Bacterial small subunit ribosomal RNA", at positions 118 to 350 of the family's 1533-position model. The record is from RNAcentral.